GCGGGCAUAGCUCAGGGGUAGAGCACGUGCCUGGCAUGCAUGAGGUCCUGGGUUCAGUCCCCAGCACCGCCA
This 72-nucleotide transfer RNA is filed under the name Camelus bactrianus (Bactrian camel). It matches the Rfam family "tRNA". Rfam says of the family: Transfer RNA (tRNA) molecules are approximately 80 nucleotides in length. Their secondary structure includes four short double-helical elements and three loops (D, anti-codon, and T loops). Further hydrogen bonds mediate the characteristic L-shaped molecular structure. tRNAs have two regions of fundamental functional importance: the anti-codon, which is responsible for specific mRNA codon recognition, and the 3' end, to which the tRNAs corresponding amino acid is attached (by aminoacyl-tRNA synthetases). tRNAs cope with the degeneracy of the genetic code in two manners: having more than one tRNA (with a specific anti-codon) for a particular amino acid; and 'wobble' base-pairing, i.e. permitting non-standard base-pairing at the 3rd anti-codon position. Lineage: Eukaryota; Metazoa; Chordata; Mammalia; Artiodactyla; Camelidae. RNAcentral also lists the same sequence under 1 other name. The record is from Rfam by way of RNAcentral.